UACGUAGGGUGCGAGCGUUACUCGGAAUUACUGGGCGUAAAGCGUGCGCAGGCGGUUUUGUAAGCCAGAUGUGAAAUCCCCGGGCUUAACCUGGGAAUGGCAUUUGGGACUGCAAGGCUUGAGUGCGGCAGAGGAGACUGGAAUUCCUGGUGUAGCAGUGAAAUGCGUAGAUAUGCGGAGGAACACCGAUGGCGAAGGCAAUCCCCUGGGCCUGCACUGACGCUCAUGCACGAAAGCGUGGGGAGCAAACAGG
Molecule: ribosomal RNA, 253 nt
Filed under: uncultured bacterium
Lineage: Bacteria
Description: partial 16S ribosomal RNA
Rfam family: Bacterial small subunit ribosomal RNA
Source: RNAcentral